AGAGUUUGAUCAUGGCUCAGAACGAACGCUGGCGGCAGGCUUAACACAUGCAAGUCGAACGAAUGUAGCAAUACAUUAGUGGCGCACGGGUGAGUAACGCGUGGAUAUCUGCCUUUUGGUUCGGGAUAACCUUGGGAAACUAGGGCUAAUACCGAAUGGUUCCUACGGGAUAAAGAUUUAUCGCCAAAAGAUGAGUCCGCGUCCGAUUAGCUAGUUGGUGAGGUAAUGGCUCACCAAGGCGACGAUCGGUAGCUGGUCUGAGAGGACGAUCAGCCACACUGGGACUGAGACACGGCCCAGACUCCUACGGGAGGCAGCAGUGGGGAAUAUUGGACAAUGGGGGCAACCCUGAUCCAGCCAUGCCGCGUGAGUGAUGAAGGCCUUCGGGUUGUAAAGCUCUUUUGGCGGGGACGAUGAUGACGGUACCCGCAGAAUAAGCCCCGGCUAACUUCGUGCCAGCAGCCGCGGUAAGACGAAGGGGGCUAGCGUUGUUCGGAAUUACUGGGCGUAAAGCGUGUGUAGGUGGUUGCCAUAGUCAGGUGUGAAAGCCUUGAGCUCAACUCAAGAAAUGCACUUGAUACUGGGCAGCUAGAGGACCGGAGAGGAUAGUGGAAUUCCCAGUGUAGUGGUGAAAUACGUAGAGAUUGGGAAGAACACCAGUGGCGAAGGCGGCUAUCUGGACGGUUUCUGACACUAAGACACGAAAGCGUGGGGAGCAAACAGGAUUAGAUACCCUAGUAGUCC
Molecule: ribosomal RNA, 744 nt
Filed under: uncultured bacterium
Lineage: Bacteria
Description: bacterial SSU rRNA
Rfam family: Bacterial small subunit ribosomal RNA
Source: RNAcentral